GUAGGUGGCAGGCGUUGUCCGGGAAUUAUUGGGGCGUAAAGCGCGCGCAGGCGGUUCUUUAAGUCUGAUGUGAAAGCCCACGGGCUCAACCGUGGAGGGUCAUUGGAAACUGGAGAACUUGAGUACAGAAGAGGAAAGCGGAAUUCCACGUGUAGCGGUGAAAUGCGUAGAGAUGUGGAGGAACACCAGUGGCGAAGGCGGCUUUCUGGUCUGUAACUGACGCUGAGGCGCGAAAGCGUGGGGAGCAAACAGGAUUAGAUACCCUGGUAGUCCACGCCGUAAACGAUGAGUGCUAAGUGUUAGGGGGUUUCCGCCCCUUAGUGCUGCAGCUAACGCAUUAAGCACUCCGCCUGGGGAGUACGGCCGCAAAGGCUG
This 375-nucleotide ribosomal RNA is filed under the name uncultured organism. RNAcentral describes it as "partial 16S ribosomal RNA". It matches the Rfam family "Bacterial small subunit ribosomal RNA", at positions 527 to 896 of the family's 1533-position model. The record is from RNAcentral.